Molecule: long non-coding RNA, 22442 nt
Filed under: Solanum tuberosum (potato)
Lineage: Eukaryota; Viridiplantae; Streptophyta; Magnoliopsida; Solanales; Solanaceae
Description: long non-coding RNA (STUB_LNC007056)
Source: RNAcentral
GGCCAAUGACAUACUGAAUAAGAAAGAGAAUUUACAUUGCUGAUAAGAAUUUGUAAUAUUAUAUACAUUUGAAGGCAUCAGGGAUAAUCGAAUUACUCUUGUACUUGAUUGCUAAGGCCUACUACGUUCUAAAGCAAAAUUAUAUAUGUUUUUGAGUACAAAUACUUGUAAGUUUUCCACCUUUUGUCCUUACUAUUAUAGAGAGGACAUUGACCAAGUACCAACGCACAAUUAUCCGUAGACUCUUAGGACCAAAGUAGAGGUCAACUAGGGAUUAAGCAGUACAAUAUUGCUCGUCAUUAAAUCCUAGUGUCACUCCUAGCCCAUUCCAUGCAAAUUAAAUGGCUUCACUAUUCCUGCUAACGUCCUUCUUCAACUGUAAUCGUCACCUGAUUGUUGGAUACAAUGUAUUUCUUAUCGGAGGAAGAAGAAGAUGUGCUAGAAGCAUGUGUCCUUAUUACAAAAGCUGGUCUAUUAGGUGUUGGAAGGUUAGCACCUUCCCCUCCCAGCAUUAAAAUGACAUCUGACAUAUUAGGACGAUGAUUUGGAUCAUCUUGUACACACAGGAGCGCAAUAUUUAUGCACUUUAUUGCUUCACUUCUGUUGCAUGAUUCAAGUAAUGACUUCUCUAUUAAUUGUGUCUCAGCUUUUUCUGUCCACAAUUUCCAUGCCUGAGAUAAUUUUUCUAUCAGAGAAACAAAGCUAAGAAGAAGAUAUAAUAAUUAAGUCAUGGGAAGUUUCUUCACUUACAUAGCCCAACAAGUUUAAGGCUUCUUCUGACUGAUAAAAUCCAGUAUUCCUUCUCCCACUGAUUAUCUCAAGUACGACUACUCCGAAACUGAAUACAUCUGAUUUGAUGGAAAACAAUCCAUCCAAUGCAUAUUCUGGAGACAUAUAGCCACUAGAUUUCACCAGGUCAACAAAACAUUAUGUAUAAGAUUUUCUCCCAAGCUCCUUUUGUAAGAAAUUAAUGACAGGAAAGAAUAUUAUACUUACUAGGUCCCCACUAUGAAUAUUAUACUUACUAGGUGCCCACUAUUUUCUUUGUAUUUGCUUCUGUUACUUUUCCUUCAACAAUCCUUGCCAAGCCAAAAUCUGAAAUUUUCGGGUUCAUCUCCUCAUCUAAUAAAAUGUUACUGGUUUUUAAAUCUCUAUGAAUGAUCCUUAGUCGUGAAUCAUGGUGAAGAUAAGAUAGACCCCGUGCAAUGCCCAAUAUGAUGUCAUAACGUUUUUUCCAAUCCAAUAAUUGACAAAGUGCUCCAUCUUGCAUCAUAACCAUGAAAAAAUUUGGUAGGUCAAUAAAAUUAGAUCAUUAUAAGAAAUGUAAGACUUUGAGAAUAAGGAACUUAAUAAGGCUAACUCACCAAAUAUGAAUGUAUCUAAACUUUUAUUCGGCAUAUAUUCAUAAAGUAGUAUUUGUUCCGUUGCAUUGAUGCAAUAGCCCAAUAGCCUCACCAGAUUUCGAUGUUGAAGCUUUGCAAUUAGAGUCACUUCAUUCUUAAAUUCAUCUAUGCCUUGUCCUGAUUGACUGGAUAACGUUUUUACUGCAAUUUCCUUUUCACCCGGAAAGAUACCCUGCAAGAUUUUUUCAUCUCAUUACUAUAGGUCAAUGCGGUCAUGCCAGUCCACAUAGAUGUAGGAAUGAAGUUUUAACCUUGUAAACAGGACCAAAUCCUCCUUGUCUGAGCUUAUUUGCAUUUGAGAAGUUGUCUGUAGCAGCCAAAAUGGUCUCCAAGUGAAAGUAUGGAACAUCAAUAGCUUCAUCACUGUUUUCUUUCAUCAACACUUUCGCUUCUCCUUCAGCUUUGUGCCAAAGAGAUAUAUGUGCCCCUUGAGUACCUUUACUUUUAUCUGAUUGAGAAUGACCUUUGAAAUUAAGUUCAAAAUGGUAUAAAAGAAAAUAUCUUCCAGAGUAAGAUUCAUUCAUCAAAUACCUGCUUUUUUUGCCAUCCUUCUUCUAUAGUAAAUGUAGCAAAAGCUGGCUAUGAGUAGAAUCAUCAAAGCUAUUAUGGACGAAAGAAUUGCUUUUAGCUUCAUCAAUUUCUUAGCUUUAGUUUGAUCUGAAAGUAGAAAGCCAAAACCAUGUCAGAUAUAUUAACAUCUAUCUUGAAGGACUUUGAUGCAAAUAUUCAUUGGACCUCAGAACCUAUCAUUAAUACUCUUUAAGAAUUCUUUUCUGGCUUAAGUUUUACUUUGCUCAACCAACUCCUCAACACAGGAAAAAGAAAAGGAGAAUCAUUGUUGUUAAGUGCUGGUACCAAGAGAAAGCGAAAUGGAAAGGACGACACCAAGCAGGAUAUUGUUAGCAAUCUGCAUGCAUAGAAGGUCCUGGGUGGGAGAUUUUUUUACCCCAGGAUCCUUAAGAAACCUGGAAUGAACUCGUUGGCGGAUCUAGUGGAGAUUCAAUCAUGGACUCACCUGUUCAUGACUAAAUCUCAUGUAAUGCAUGAAGACCAAGUAAUGGAGUUCUAUUACAAUGUGGAGUUCAAUGAGGAUGGAAGUCUUUAUACUUUGGUGGGAGAUAAAAUGAUGCAUCUAAAUGAGGAGCUGUUGGGAGAGAUUCUAGAGGUACCUAGAGAAGGGAUCAGGUCCGUGGUUGGAAAACUUUACACUCAACACUUUGCCAAUGAGUGCUCUAAGCUUCCGCAUCGUGCAGGUAUUCAGAAAAAGCUUAUGAAAGGGGAAUACUAAUUGUUGUUUGAGUUUGUGAACAAGGUGGUUCUUUCUCGAUCUGAGAAGCGUAUAGUUGCCAAUUCAGCAGAUUUAUUCCUAAUGGAAUCUAUCUGCAAGUUCGACCCAUUGAAUCUGCCAGCACUCAUGUUGGAACACAUGCACAAAACGGUGAUAGAACGUAAAGGCAAGCAUGGAAUGAGAUAUGGAUACUUUCUCAUAAAAGUGUUCGAUCAUCUGAAAGUUUCACUGGGACCAGGUACUGUUGGCACAGUUAAACAAUCAAUUUCUCUCAAUACCUUAGUCGAGUGUGAGUGCAUCGAGGGUCAAAUAAGACGACUAAGUAAAAUGUCUCACUUAGUGGCUGAACGAGAUUAACUGAAGCGUGAACUGGAGGAACUAACAACACUUGUUCAGAAAAAGGAUGCUGAAAUGGCACUAUUGAAGGCAUAACUGGCCAAAGCUCAGUCUGAAGGACCUGGUACUGAAGAGGUCAAAGAGUUACGUCUGAAAAAUACAGCCCUUCUGACUCAAACUGCUGAUGUUCAAGAAAGGUUGAUCAAAGCUCAUGACUCUACCAAUGACCGACUUACCUUUGUCAUCAGAUCUCUCACUCAUCUGCCUCCUUCCUCCUAAUUAUCUCCAUCUUUUGUCCUUGCCUGUUUUUUUUGUGUGGGCAGUGUCCCGGGUUCUCUUUAGCAGUUUAUUGUCAAUGUAUUGAAUGUUUACUUUGUGCAAUGAAAAGGACUUCUGUUUUGUUGUGAUGUCUUCCAGUCUAAUUCUUUUUCUAUGAUGUGUUGCUCAAAGCUAUGGUCUUUCUAUGCAUGCUUACUUUUAAUCUUGGUUUACUGUCUCUCUUUUUUAUGAUGCCAAAAGGAGGAAUAAUGGGUGCCUUAUAGACAUGGGGAAGCGGAUAAUGAAGAGGAUAUAACAUUAUGAGUUUGUCAUCAUCAAAAAGGGGGAAAAUGUUAUUUGAAGUUUUGAUGAUUUGACAAACAGAGGACCUUGUAAGGGGAUCUGAUCCCCGUCAUUCAUAUCCGUACAAUUGACAGUUGGAAAAAGUACACAAGUUUGGUGCACGGUCUCCAAGUGUGGCAGAAACCUCAGUCAAUCGCAUUGCCUUGAAGGUUGUGUCUAUUCUCAUAAGGACUUCCACACACAUACACAACCUCAGUUUUUGCAAUAUAGAUUUUUAGAGCAAAAAGGCAAAAACCACUCUCUCAAGAAGUACUUACCAAAGAGCAACAAGGACCAUAUAGAGCAACUUGUAUCUUAGUUGUCUUAGGUUUUUACUUCAGUUCUUAUCGUUGUAAAUCUAAUCCUAAACUAUAAAGGAAUUAGAUCUUUUGUCAGUUCGUCUAAAAGUCUAAACCAGUUGUGUCUAACUGGUUUAGUGGGCAACAUUGUUCGUUGCUUAGUCAAAUCCUAAGUCAUCUAGUGUUAGGUGGGUUAGUGGGCAACCGUGGGUUGCUUAGUGAAUUCUAAGUUAUCUUGUGUCAGGUAGCUUAGUGGGCAAUUGUGAUAUUGCUUAGUUGCUCUAUUUGUAGUGGAAAUACUACUUUUACGGGGAAGGGAUUUAGAGGUAAAUUCCUAGGUUGCAAGUUGUUGUAAUCUGAAUCGUUGCUCUAUUUAGAAGAAAUGGAGUUUGGUUUGAAAAGUUUGUGAGGACAGGUCGUAGUUUUCACCGCCCUUAGAGCAAGGGGGUUUCCACGUUAAGUGCUUGCGUUGUUUUUGUUGUUUUACUUGUCUUACUGUUGUUGCUUGCAUUAUUGUUCUUAACGUGUCAAGGGACCUGGUCCAUUGACUUUUAGUGGACGCCUGUAUUCUAACACACUUGAUGGUGUGUUUCAAGUGUUUGUAACUCGAUAUGGUAUGAUCAAUAUUGUCUUUAAAGUAUUUAUUUCCCAAAUUGGUAUAUACUGUUCUGAUUUGCAAAUUGGAAAUACACUUAAUCAGAAACGGUUUCAAAAUAUAUAAAUGUGUCUUUUAAUUUUGUCCUCCAACUUUGGGUAUAUAUAUGUACAAGUAGAUACUUAAACUAGUAUAAAGUUAAACAAAUAGACACAUGAGUCUUAAGUGGCAUAAUACACAUAAGACACCAUGUAGAACACAAAUUGUCAUAUAGGAUAUUAGGUAGGACGUAUCCGUCUAUUUGUUCAACUUUAUACAAGUUUAAGUGUGUACUUAUGCAAAACCAAUGUUGAAAGGCAUAUGUAAAAUGAAGACAAAUUAAAUAACAUAUUUAUAUAUAAUACCAUAACAACUUCACAACUAGGUUCAUAAUCAAAUAAUUAUAAUAUCUAGUAAAAUAUUAAAAUAUAUAUAAAACCUAAACAAAAACUACUAGAUUUACGUGAAUCUAGAAAUAAUAUUAUUAUAAUUAGUUCAGUUUUUUCAAAAAAUUAUAUAUCGAACAUUAGAACAUGUUUUUAAUUUUUUUUUUUUUUUUUUGCAGAUCAACAACAUGUUGUUGGUCCAAAGAAAAUUGGGGUAUGUAUCGACCCACCUCCUUGUGGAUCUGACUGUGAGUGUGAUAAAUCACCUUGUGGUCACAGAUGUUUGAGGGAUGUGUGGGGUCUUCGUUUCUGUCGCUUUUAAUAUUGUAUGCCAUGGCAUGGAACUUUUAUGUUUUUCUUAAUCGGAAUAAAAUUGUGUGUAUUUGGAAAUUUGUAAUCGCAAAUAUUUAAUUAUUAAUGGAAAAUAAAGAUUUGUGAUUUAUCAAUGUAAUGUCUUAUGAUAUUGUUUACCAAAAAAAUGGUGCAGCUAAAUUUGUAUGAGUCAAGAAUACAUGUUUUAGCUUAAUUCAUAAGAUCUGGUUAUUAGCAAUUGAAUAUUUAUAACAAAAAAUAAUGGCCUCUGUGCAUGGUCCGUUCAAUUAUAAGACCAUUAAAGUAAAGCGGAAUACAUAAAUAGACCCCUAAACUUGUUCGAUUUUUCCUCUCAGGCACCUCAACUAUGCUACCUUCCUAUUGAAUCUCUGAACCAUCUAUAAUUUGUACCUUUUAAACAUUAUUGGCUGGCAUGGCACAAAACUUCAACAAAUAUUUUUUGUUGAUUGUGCGCGUGAAAUCCACCUUUCCCAUGUGGAAAGUGCAACCAAUCAAAAUACUCAAACUGUUGAAACAAUUUACACAUCAGUCAAUCUUGCCAAAAUAAAAAUCCAAAUAAAACCUAGAAAACCAAAACAUUUCAAUAGUUUCAAUAGUUCAACCCAAAUAACUCUAAGAAUGGAUGCUUCAAUAGUUCCUUUGUUGUUGCCCUUCUGAAUGGAGUUCUCUUAAAAGUGAUAGUACUAAAAACUUCUCAUGAACUCUUUUGGAAAUCGGUGUUUCCUCUCAUCUUAAAUGUAAAAACAUUUACUCUUGGGAAUACUUAGUUCCCAUAUAUCAUUUUAAAGAAAAUGAACUCAACUCUGCUCUUCCUCAAACUCAAAUGCUCAAGUCUUAAAAUAAGUUUUAAAACAAUGUAAAAGACUUCUCGAAAUGACUCUAAUGAACUCUCAAAACUUGACUCUUAAUUGAAUUAUGAAUUAUGAAUUCAAGAGUUAUGAUUUAUGAUAUGAAGGAUAUCAUGAUGAUUAAAUGAGUUUUAGAUAGUUAAUGAUGAGAAACGGUCGAAGAACACUGUCUGGGGAGCAAGUUCGCAACACGGAGAUGAAUUAUAAUAUUUGGUUGCGAAAUAACUUUUGAAACAGUGGAGUCCGUGUUCUCUCCGUGACGUGGAGAGAGAAAUUUCUCUCUAGGGGAGCAAUUCCGCGACGUGGACUUGGGCGCCAAUUUCAUGCCCGAUUUUUUCUUCUUCUCCCAAACCUGAUUCAACUCGUACCCACUAAAAUUCUAAGGUAAAAACUCUCGAAUUCCUAUAACUCAGAACAAUUCCAGCGGAACUCACUCGAGAACUAUCAAUUUACUCAACCCCUUAACAAAAUCUUCAUCUCAAGAACUCAACCAAACAUCAAGAUUCAAGAAUGAAUAACAACUCAUCAAGAAACUCAUCAAGAACUUAAUUCCUCAAUCUCUAGGGAUGAAUUUGGAAAUGUAAAAAUAUGAUUGGCAUGUGGGUGAACGAACCCAACACUAUGAAAAACUUACAUACCUCGAUUUGGCGAAACAAAUCCUCAAUUUGCACGAACCUUGAUCGUUCUUCCUUUUCUCCUCUUUUCCUCUUCUUGAACUCUCUUCUAAAAUCCUAAGCGGAAUUAGGAUUUGUAAAACUGACUCAAAUCAAAUUUGACCCCAAAAUAAUACUAAAAAUCGUUUUAAUCUGAUUGGGUAAGGAAAAAACCAAAAUACCCCUCAUUAAUUCGGGUAACUUUCCUUAACUGGACAUGCUAACUUCAAACGGGCAUAUCUCCCUCAUACGAGCUUGAAAUUUAGCAAACUCGGUGGCGUUGGAAAGAGGAUUCCAAGACCUUUCAUUUGAUAACUUAUGGGCUACCUAACUCAUCCUGUACUGAAAGUUAUGACCAUUUGAAGUUGAUCCAAAACUCACAACUCAAGCAUAACUUGCAAAAUUUCAAAUUAGUUUCUUUCCAAAUUAAUUCUUUCUAAAUAUAGCUCUUUCUAAGGCAGGAUUAUAUGUAUGUAUAUGAUUUUGUAUGUGUAUAUAUUGUUGGGAAAAGGCAUAGAUUCCCCCUUGAAUUUGUCCCGAAAAGUUAUUUACACGCUUUAACUAUCCUGAUGACCUAUUACACACCUGAUUUUGUUUAAAGUGAUAUUAAUACCCCCUUAAAAGAUGGCAUGGCAAAGAAAGCGUCUUCACCCUCUUUAAGGUGCGUGAGAAGAAGAAAAAAAAAAGUUAAAAUGAUAAAUUUAAACAUGUGAAACUAUCUUAUUGGUCAUUAUAUAAUUAAGUAUUAUAAUUUUUAGUAUAUUAAUUAUGUCAAUAAUCUUUUUUUUUUGUCUUUUUAUUAGUGGCCUCCAAUUUUUUUAAAAGCUUUUACAUUUUUCUUUCUUUUGACUUCUUCUUCUUCAACAGUUCUUCACUUUGUCACCAUUAAUAAGUUCUUCACUUUAUUCCCAUGAAAGCAUAUUCAAACCCUUACAGAAGAACUCUAAAAAGAAAUAGAAAGAAAAUGAUUGUUCUAUCUUCGUCUUCUCUAUUCUUGCCGGCACCUCCAACCAUCACAAUGUCAUUUUUGUCUCAAGCGGCCAUCAAUAGCAUAUUUGAUUAUUCACUAUGCACAAAUAAUACAAAUGAAAUGCUUAAUUUCAUCCAUAAUUAUCGAUAUUUUUAAAGAAAAUUACAGAUUUGAAAGUAAUUUUAUAGAUCUGAAAGUUUUUAUUUGUUUCACUGGCAACAAUGGUGUUGCCCACGGCGUAUCACCGCUACCAACAUCUCCAUACUUCAUAAUCGUCUGACUACUUCCUAUUUUAUCUUCAAAUUUUCUCGUUUCCCCUUCUACUUAUGAAGAAGGAAGAAGAAAUGAAUUUAAAAAAUAAAGAGAUGUAUGGUGUGGGGAGGAAGAACACACACAAAGUAGAAAUUAUUAAGGGAAAAAAGUUAAAAAAUAUAAAAUAAUAUUAUUUCCGUUUUCAUCAAAACGCAUGUAUAACAUUUUCUCACACAAAAUUGAGAUUGUCUUCGGAAGGGGGAAUUAAUAUCAUUUUGAACAAGAUUAGGUGUGUAAUAGGUCGUCAUGACAGUUUAAGCUUGUAAUUGACUUUUCGAGACAAGUUCAAGGGAGAAUUUAUGCCUUUUCCCUAUAUUGUAUAUGCAUAAUAUAUACACAUGAUCUUUAACUUGAUUUCAGUGGAUAAAUAUGAUAUUUAACUUUGUGAGUGCACAAGUAGGUACUUUUACAAUUUAAAACUUGAACACAAAGACUCAAUUUAACCUUUGACGUGCGUGACUUGCAUGAAUUUUAGUAUUUUGCUCCAGAAGAGGUUCGCUUGAGUCACCGGCGAUGUCUCCGGUCAGAUCGAUUGAAGUUCAAUUCUGUCUCUCUUUCUUCUAUUAUUUGUUUGUAUUGAUUGUAAUUGAAGCAAGGAUGGUCUUGAAUGAAUCAUUAAUUUAUCAAUAAGAUAUCUUAAGAGUAAAAUUGGUUCAAUUAAUAUUUGGUUUGGGGGAUUUCGUCCAAUUGAAGGACAUUUGUUAAAUUUCAUAACAAUAAGAGUAAAAUUGGUUUGAUAGUAUAACUAAAGACAAAGUUAACUAAUAAAUGAAAGUAAAAAAGGUAUCUUUGAUCAUUUUUUCCUUUAUCCCUUGUGACUUUGAUUAAAAAGAUAGAAGUAUAUUAUAAAAUGUAUGAGUUUUUAGCCAAAAAUAUUCCUAAACUAUACCCUCAACUUAAACUACAUCCUUAAAUUAUCCUUCUUAACAGAAAAUAUCCCCCAAGUAUUUAAAACUUAACCACUUUCAUCCUUUUGUUAAAGCUUUUUUCACAUAAUUUCAUUAUCCGUUGGAAAAAGCUCCCCCACCAAAAAAAUAAUUAAUUUUUUGAGACAUUUAUUUGCUGAAAAGAAAUAAAGGUAGGAUGGUGUUGCAAAGAGACAUGAUCUACUCUUCUCCUUUAUCAACUUAACGAAGCUGAAGCUUAAUUUCACAUCAUCUUUACCUUCUGUAAAGUCAAAAUGUAAUUAGAUCAACAAUUUUUUGGGCAAUUUGAUGUUUAAAGUGAUCAAGAUUCUGAAUUUCAUAUAUGACACUCGAGUUUUGUUCUCCAUUAUUAAAAGUAAAAGUCUCAAAUCGCCACCAUUUCUUGUAGAUUCAAUGAGAAAAAAAUAUUUCAACUGGUAAUUUUUUAAUAUCAAAUCAAAUGAAAAAUAAAUUAAAACAAAGUUGCUAAUAAAAAGAUCUGCAUAAUGCCAAGUGUUGUUGCAAAAAAGAAUUCACAAUAAUAUUUUAGAUGUAUCACGAAAUGAAGAGAUUUUUUUAAUCUUUAGUGAUUUAGGAAGUUUUGCUGAGAGUAGUAUGAAUUGCACAUAUUUUUGUAUGAAUUCUGUUAAUUUGUGUCAAAUUAUAACAAAAGGAUGGAAGUUGUUAAGUUUAAAAUACUUGAAGGAUUUUUUUGUUAAGAAGUAGAAUAGCAUGGGACAUAAGUUUCAUUUAGUUUGAAUUACAUAACAUGGGACAUGACUCAUGAGUGUAUUGGACAUGGAGUAAGACUAGAUAUGGAUAUAUACUUCAUUUUCAUAAAACCUUCGAAACUUGUCAUGGUCUUAGGUUACCUUACACCUCAAAAACUUCCUUCAAGGCAUGUUUCAUACCUAAUAUUUGCCUUGUAAGAUAUUUCUAAUGGUGUGAGUUCUUGAAACACAAAUCAAUACCUUUUACCUUCAAUAAGACGAAACUUACCACUCUCAUCACUUUUCAAUUAUAAUUCUGACAUGAGCACAUCUAAUUACAAAGUGUUGUGUCGUAUCUAGAAAGUUUCCGGAAAAGGCAUGCAUGGCUUUGUCUAAACACACUGGAAAAAAACACUUUAAAAAGCAUAUACAAUAGUGAAUCAACCGCGUCUACCUUCUUUUGGCACAUUCUGUCUAAUAAGAAUUUAAAUUAUUAUACAUUUGAAAGCAUCAGGGAAAAAUAGAAUUACUCUUCUGCUUGAUCCCUUCUAAUGCCCUUCUUCAACUGUAAUCGUCACCUGAUUGUUGGAUACAAUGUAUAUCUUAUUGGAGGAAGAAGAUGAUGUGCUAGAAGCGUGCGUCCUUGUUACAAAAGCUGGUCUAUUAGGUGUUGGAAGGUUAGUACCUUCCCCUCCCAGCAUUAAAAUGACAUCUGACAUAUUAGGACGAUGAUUUGGAUCUUCUUGUACACACAGGAGCGCAAUAUAUAUACACUUUAUUGAUUCACUUUUGUUGCAUGAUUCAAGUAUUGACUUCUCUAUUAAUUGUAUCUCGGCUUUUUCUCUCCACAAUUUCCAUGCCUGUGAUAAUUUUUCUAUCAGAGAAACAAAGCUAAGAAGAAGAUAUAAUAAUUAAGUCAUGGGAAGUUUCUUCACUUACAUAGCCCAACAAGUUUAAGGCUUCUUCUGACUGAUAAAAUCCAGUAUUCCUUCUCCCACUGAUUAUCUCAAGUACGACUACUCCGAAACUGAAUACAUCUGAUUUGAUGGAAAACAAUCCAUCCAAUGCAUAUUCUGGAGACAUAUAGCCACUAGAUUUCACCAGGUCAACAAAACAUUAUGUAUAAGAUUUUCUCCCAAGCUCCUUUUGUAAGAAAUUAAUGACAGGAAAGAAUAUUAUACUUACUAGGUCCCCACUAUUUUCUUUGUAUUUGCUUCUGUUACUUUUCCUUCAACAAUCCUUGCCAAGCCAAAAUCUGAAAUUUUCGGGUUCAUCUCCUCAUCUAAUAAAAUGUUACUGGUUUUUAAAUCUCUAUGAAUGAUCCUUAGUCGUGAAUCAUGGUGAAGAUAAGAUAGACCCCGUGCAAUGCCCAAUAUGAUGUCAUAACGUUUCUUCCAAUCCAAUAAUUGACAAAGUGUUCCAUCUUGCAUCGUUACCAUGACAAAGUUUGGUACGUCAAUAAAAUUAGAUCAUUAUAAGAAAUGUAUGACUUUGAGAAUAAAGAACUUAACAAGGCUAACUCACCAAAUAUGAAUGUAUCUAAACUUUUAUUCGGCAUAUAUUCAUAAAGUAAUAUUUGUUCCGCUGCAUUGAUGCAAUAACCCAAUAGCCUCACCAGAUUUCGAUGUUGAAGCUUUGCAAUUAGAGUCACUUCAUUCUUAAAUUCAUCUAUGCCUUGUCCUGAUUGACUGGAUAACGUUUUUACUGCAAUUUCUUUUUCACCCGGAAAGAUACCCUGCAAGAUUUUUUCAUCUCAUUACUAUAGGUCAAUGCGGUCAUACCAGUCCACAUAGAUGUAGGGAUGAAGUUUUAACCUUGUAAACAGGACCAAAUCCUCCUUGUCCGAGCUUAUUUGCAUUUGAGAAGUUGUCUGUAGCAGCCAAAAUGGUCUCCAAGUGAAAGUAUGGAACAUCAAUCGCUUCAUCACUGUUUUCAUUCAUUAAUACUUUUGCUUCUCCUUCAGCUUUGUGCCAGUGAGAUUUAUGUGCCCCUUGAGUACCUUUACUACUAUCUGAAAUAGAAAUGGGGAGUGGGAGGGAUUUCAUUACCUCAAUUGGAUUGAGAAUGACCUUUGGAAUUAAGUCCAAAAUGGUAUAAGAGAAAAUAUCUUCCAAAGUUAGAUUCAUUCAGCAAAUACCUGUUCUUUUUGCCAUUCUUCUUCUAUAGUAAAUGUAGCUAAUGCUGCCUAUGAGUAGAAACAUCAAAGCUGAUAUUGAUGAAAUGAUUGCUUUUAGUUUCUUUGAUUUCUUAGCAUUAGUUUGAGCUGAAAGGAGAAUCAUUGUUGUUAAGUGCUAACGUUAAUAAGGAAUUCUAUUCAUAACAUUGUACUAAUAUGAAAUAAAGAAUCAAAGUAUGUUAUACUACGCUAUUCUAACCUUCAGGUGAGCCGCGUUUGACAAAUAUAGUCCUUUCUGAUUCAUUUGUGCUGAGUUGUUGCAGAUUGAACAGACCCCCUGUCCAGAUAGAACAGGUACCGGAACCAUCAUAAGUAUAAGCAGUGCAAGAGCAAUCGGUGAAACAUGCAGAUCUACACUGUGAGGCUUCCCCAACUGUGAUAUUAGUAUCUUGAGAAGAAGGUACUCUCACAAUUGAAGUUAUCCAUAAACUAUCUGUGUCUUCAGUAAUUGCAUUACACUGCACCUUUUGGUCUCUUACACAGCCACCAGAGUAAUCAUUAGAAUUCCAUUCUGUAUCUGAUCUUUGCUUGAAACCACUCAAACAAUUGCAGGGUGCAUUAGCCUCACCACAAACUCCAAAUGCCCCACAUAUAGCAUAAACCUGACAAGAUUCUCUUGGUUGAGACCAGAAUAAAUUCCAUUGAAAUCUAUUACCCAACCAUGUUAGUUGCUUAAUUUGUCCCGAGACACCCAUGGUGAAUAUUGAUAAGAUUGGACUAUUGUAAAGGGAAUAUGUAAAAUAUGACUCAUUCUCAUUGUCGAUGUAGCUGAAAUUAUGUAUGUAGUUUGUCGUCAUCUCAGGUAUUGCGCUGAACAUUCGGCUAUUCCAUGAACCACUUGCCCAAUACUCUGUAGUCCUAUUCCAUUUUAAAACAAAUUGAGUAUUCUUUGGGUCCAUUUCCAUAGAAUACAAUCCUGGUGCUGGAUCACUCGAAUUCUUCCAUGAUACCAAAACCUGUUUUCUUUGUGUACGUUUGUCAUAUCCAAUCUUAGCACCAGGCAUAAAAGUGUGUGUUGGGUGAUCAAAACUUUGCCAAAGUAGUAAGGGUGUUGAUGAAUUUGACACAUCACUCAAAAUCAAAUUUCCAUCAUCACGAAGAAGUGCAGUAACUGAAAUAUCUGGAUUGAUGUUUCCAGCAAGUGCCGACCAAACUACGCCUUGAAAUCUAUCAUGAAGCACCAGGUUUCCUUGACUAAUUUUCAUCUCAGCAGCACCAUAAUCAAGUGGUUUAUCCCUAUUUGCUACCCAAAUUACUGUUUGCGAUAAAAUAACGUUCUUGUACCAUAUGCCUAGAUAAUAUUUAAGAGAGUUACCUGGUCUGAAAAAACCAAGCUCAAAUAUCUCACCUGAAGAGACUAGAGUUUCACCAUAAGAAAGAGAUUCAUUCGCAGAAAUGGUGUCCCUUGCGAUACAGAGAUUAUUGUUGAGACUGAAGCAUAAAAAGAGUAGCAGAAAGUAAUGAGUGUUCUUCAUUUCCAUGGUACGUAGAGAAGUUGAUUGACUACUGAAAGAAUGAGAGAAAAUAAGGAGUGCAAAGUGUUUACGGAAGGAGAUUUUUCUUCUUUGGAGUCCAUGAAACUAGUCAAAACAAGUUUCUUGUUUUAUUGCUAAUAAAUAUACGUUGAUUAUUCUUACUUCUAGCAUACGUUGAUUGUUUCAAAAUAGGUGUGGAAAAAAUAUCUAGUCAUUCAUUCCACUCUGGGUGGUUGUGAUUUGUGAAAAUUAAGCAUACAAAAAAAACAUUAAUGCAUGUUUGUAAAGUCAUUUUGAUUAUCGGUUUUGGUGUAAUUGAGUGUAAUUACACUCUCUAACAUAUUUGGCUGGUCAUGUAAAUAUUCAGCAAAUAAUAGGAUGUAAUUGACAUGGGUAACUACACUCUCCGAUUCUCAGGUGUAAUUGAUCUUUAUUUUUAAUGUUUCCCGUAGAUGUAAUUACUUAAGGAUUUUUUUUAUUCAAUUGAGACUAGUUGUGUGAGGUUUCUAUUUGUCUCGUAAAAAUGUAGACUUGAAUCUUACCUUUUGGGUUAACAAACUUUAGGUCUACUUUCUGUGAGAGAAAAAAUCUCACACAAUAAUAUUAACUCUUGGAAAUAUAGUAUCAAUAUUUGGUGUCACCCUCCUUAAUUUCGAAAUGGUGGAAGUGAAACUCAAGGAAAUAUUUCUUGCUCCGUUCCUAUUUAUAUAUCACCAUUUUAGAUUUUACGUGCAUUACGAAACUAAGUAAGUUUACUAUUCUACUCUUAUUUAAUGUUUUCUUAAAGUUAAGUUUUCAAUCAAUGAACGUAAAUUUAAUUUAUUUUGAUUAAUUAAUUUGAUCAAUUGACAUAAAUUAUUUACUUAAUUUUUUUAUGUUGAUCAAAUGUAUAUUUUCAAGAUCAAUAACUCAUAACAAUAAAUAGGAAGAAUAAUGUCAAUGCAUUAAUUUUGUGAAAUGACAAAUAUUAAGAACCAUCUAUUUUAGUAAGGACGACAUAUAAAUAGGAACGCAGGGAAUAAUAAAUAAUGCAAGUGGAUCUCUACAAAAAUGGUGUCUCCUCCUUGCAAAAGAUUAUCGGUAGAAUGAGUGAUUGUUUGAAGACAAGAUAAUGAAAAUGAAAAAGAGACUUUUCUGCUUGGAGUUGGAAAUUUUUAUCUUUGGUCUACUUUUCUUUAGUCUUCCAACAGUCAAUAUCAACCUUCUAUUAUGACUAGAUAAAGAAAGGUUCAUUUAUGGGUUUAAUAUUAUAAUUUUAAAGAUUGGGGUCUGCUCUUUCUUUUUUGGGAGAGUAUGCCAAUAUGAUCUUAAUGAGGUACGGGGCUUUGCAUCUGACAUUCGUUGGGCUUCUCUCUUCGGGAGCCUGCGCCCCGGCCUUUUUGUUCAAUAAACCCCUCCGGCCGAAGACUAGUGGCCCAAAAAAGCAAAACCUCACUAGACUGAGGCCCAUUGCUAUAGGGGUCUCGGCUUCCAUAAAAAAAAGUUAGUAACUUCUACGCUAGUCUUCACAAUUACUCCACUUCCCAGUCUCAGUAGUGGUUGCAGGUGCACAUGAAGAAGACUUGGAUAAAGGCACAUAUGAGUAGCAGAAUGGAAGAUUGGCUUUUUAGAUAAGGUUUCGUUAUAAGUAUUUAAUUAGAUUUUUAGAAAGAAAAGUUAUUAUUACUAUUUUCAAACAAACACGAUAGUAAAUGAUAAAUAAGAAGUACUUGUCAUUUCAUAUUAGUUUCUUAGUUUUCCUCACAUGCAUUACACCAAUAAUACUAUACAAUAGUUAACAUGUACACAUUGCAUACUUUGGAAAACAACGAAUCAUUAUCUACCCGAAGGAUUUCUUCUUGAAUAUUCCUAGCAUAAUACAAUCAUCCCAAAUACCUUUCCUAAGACAACGCCUAGCCAUAUCCUACCGUCAACCAUAACCAGUCAGCCCAUCAUAGCCUAAACUAUAGGUAAACCACACAUUCAACCAGCUAGACUCUGUAUCCGAAGACUUAUGCAUGAACUUCUCUGACAAUCUACACGAUACUAUACUAGUAAAUACAUAUCUAACUACUCAGUUAAGAAAAUCUAACCUACCUGAGCGACGAUCAACUGCUGAAGAACUAAGAACACGAGUCUCCGUCUUUGUAAGGGUGAAUCUUGACGGACGUAGAUCAGAAUUCCUUAGUUUUGACCCUCCUUGCGGUUAGAAUCCCUCCUCUCCAAGUUCUUCAAGCUUUGAAGGCUUUUAGAGUAACCCGCAUCUAUUUUAUCCUUGAAGGAGGUGAUAAAUAUAAAAGAAUUCGUAUUUCUGAGAUUUUGCACUGCCUGAUCCACUAUAUCGGUUGGCACGCCACUGCAGCGAUGUCGCGAGGAAAUUCUCGCUAUGAAGGGAUGACAUCAGCUCAAGUCAGAAAUCAAUUUCCAAAAUUUGUCGUAUCAUCCCAAUUUAAAUUGGCGGUGAGUUUUCAAAUAAAAUAUUCAGGAUUUCGCACGAGGUGCCUUUGAGUAACGAUGGAACUGGUCAUUACAUUUUCAUUCCCCUUUCAUUAUUUGAUUGUCUUAUUAAUGAAUACUAGCUAGUAUAUGUGCUCGCGCGAUGCGCGAAUAAUAUUGAAGCGUUAUUUCUAAACACUUUAGAAUGUGAUAUUUUGUUCGAACAUGUUAAAUGACAUUACCUUCAAAACAAAAUCAAACUGUACAUCAUAUUGUUCCUCAAUGAAAUACACACCCUCUUCUCCCCACGUCCUGCCUCAUCCAACAUCAUAUCUCCCAUAAUAAAUCUAUACGAAUAGAGACAAUGAAUCAAGUUUUAAAUUGUUAAUAUUAAUUUUUUAUUAUCUUCAUUUGGCUUACUAUAAUUAUCAAGUGCUCUUCUUAUUAUAUUAAUUAAUACAACCAAAUCUAGUUAAAUUGUUAAUGUAUUGAUCAAUAAUUGUGAAGUCUUCCAAAUGGUCAUACUUCUGUAUUAUGUAAAAUUUAUUGUUCUGUCCACAAAAAAAAAAUUAGUUUUUUAUGUCUUUUUCAAAUUUUAAGCACCGCAACAAGUCAAUGAUAUUUCAAUAUCAUUAUAUCUACUUAAAAAAUUCAAUGCAACACUAUUUCAGUAUCAUUAUAUCAACUUCUAAAAUUCUUGAGGGAGAUUUUAUAAUUCUAACUUGAUAUUAUAUUUUCAUUGUUUACAUUCUUACUUUAUAAGGUUUGCGUACAUCAUAUCCUCUCCAAACCUCACUUGUAGGAUUAUUGAGUAUGUUAUUGUUAUUCAAUUUAUAUAUGUCUAUAAAAAGAAAAAAAAUUAAGCCCUCUCUGUGAAAUUUGACUUUAGACCGCAAUCUUCUUGAGACGACACUACUUUUAUGAGCUUGUGGGAAUAUAGGCAAACCUGAUAAGGCCUCUUUUACUGGAUGAAUAUUGUUUUAUCAUGGAUUUCAAUUUGUUACCACGUAGUGGUGUAUAGAGGUGACAAAAUUAAACUCAAUUCACUUAACUUGCUUAAUCCAUUCAAGUUUGAGUGAGUUAUUGACUCACUUAUUUAUUAGGUCAUUUCAUUUCAGUCCAUUAAUAAUUGGAUUGAUAUGUAAUCCAAAUUAGCUCGGGAGAAAUCUCGUCAAAAUAUGUUUUACUUAAUAUGUUAUAUAUAUAAUAAUAAUAAAGAAAAUAAUAAUUGUAUUAGCUACUAAAAAAUUAUAGAAGAACAAAGUAAGGAAAAAUUACAAGGAUAUUGCGUUUAAGACUUUAAUACUCUUUUUUAUUUACAAAAUUAAGUUUUUAAUUACAAAUAUAGAAAUUUAAAGUACUACACAUUUUUUUUUUUUUUUUUUUUUUUUGGGGGGGGGGGGGGNNNNNNNNNNNNNNNNNNNNNNNNNNNNNNNNNNNNNNNNNNNNNNNNNNNNNGGGGUUAAUGUGCCUAUCUUUUGGGACUCAUAACACGCCCAUUAUUCAUCUCAAUAACAAGAAUAUUCUCUUAUUAAUAGGAUAUGUUUCUCUCUCUUAUUACUUUCUCAUCUCUUCCAUUAUUAGUAUCUAGGUAAAACCUCUAUUCUUGAUAUUAAUAUUUUUGGUUCUUUUCUAUUCUUGCUUCUUUUUUUUAAAUCACCUCUAAUUCAAAAACAAAAAUUGUUUUUGUUAUUAACUUUUACUAUGAAAAUUUCAUGAAUUCUACUCCUAGAAAGAGCAUUAGGUCAAGGCUUGACGCAAUAUCAACAAUCCCAUCUUAUGUUCUAAAUUAUGUUUUGAGUUGAAUGCAUUCACUCUAUUUUCCAUGAAUAUGAAAGAGUAAUUCAUGCCACAAAUAGUGAAAUUUCUUUCUCUGUUACAACUAAUUCGCCAAAAGAAAAAAGUAAGGAGAAAGAUGUUAGUGCAAAUUCUCUCAUUAUUACCUUCAAAUCGGCAAAGGUAAGGAGAAAAAGUUACAACUGUUAAUUCGAAAAAGAUCUGGAUGAUCAUAGUGAAUAUGAUUUGUAUCAUGUAAUCCAUAAAUAUCGAAAUAAUUUUUAAACACAAUUUGUUUUAGUGCAUACACGUUAGUGACCAAUUUGGUACAAUUGUUGAUGAUAUGUUUUUUUAAAAUAGUAAUAUGUAUUAAUCUUUAGUGACUGAUCUAGUACAAUAAUUGGUGAUUUGUUGAUUUUUAACUGUUAUAUAUUUUAAUGUCUAUAGUUUGAUAGAUGAUAUAGUUAAAAUAUUGAUAAUAUGUUGAUUUAAAUUUGAUGGAUGGUUGGCUAAUAUUUUGGUGAUAUGUUGGUUUAGAACUAUAAUAGAAAUUGAUUUAUAAUUGAUGAUAAGUUUGAUUUUAGUUAUAUGUUUCAACCCUACAAUGCGUAACACCAUAAUCUAAUCAAGUAUAUACCAAUUUUUUAGUAUCAUCAAGUUAAUUUAUAUGGUGUACAAUGUGGUGUAACCUUUGUGUCAAGUUCAAAUUUAAUAACUACAACAAUUACAAAUAAUUGGUGGAUUUGUUGGUUAAAAAUAAAUGGCGAUUUGUUGAUUUAAAGUUGCAAUAUGUAUAGUGUUAUAUAUGAGUAGUAAAUUGCAUAGAUGGUUUUUUUUUCCCAGUAAGUUAUUAAAAUGUAAUACAAAUUGAGCGGGUUGAGUUAUGACCCUUACUGUAGCCCAUUUCAACCCAAAUAAAUUUUGAACAAAACGAUAACUUGCAUAUUUAUUAGUAUAAAAUACUUAGCGUCCCGCCAUUCUUUCUUGUUAGCACUGGAAAUCUAACACAUUCUACGGUAGAACUCUUAUAAAGUGAAAAGUCGUUCUUUAGUUAAAGCAGAAGAACAGAAACUGAGGGAAAAAAUCUAUGUAAACUCCAACAAUUUGGGUGCUAGUUACAUCUUAUCUCGAAAUUUUUUCAAAUUACAAUAAUUUCGAAUUUUUUAGAACUCGUGAAUAUAUUGCUCCUUCCCCCAAUAUAUAACAAACGACUCAUAAUUUUUGUAUCAGAUAUAUAAAUUAUGUAUCACAUACAUUACUAUAAACCAGACUCAUACUGAUUUAGAUAUGAAAUAAUUGAGAUUAUGUAUAACGAUAACAUUUAUAAUUAUCUAAUUUUCUCUAUUUAUGAACUCAGCCUAACUUAACACAUCAAAAUUGAGUUUAACCCGGUCCAUUUGAUACACUAGUGGUGCAUAAGGCUGCGCAACGGACCGGAACGGAACCAUCGGAACGAACCGAUAUCGGAACGGGACGGUUUGACCGGUUUGUUGAUCGGUACCGGGAUGAAUCGGAUCGGAAUUAUCGGGACGGAUACUCGGUUUCGUCCCGUCCUACUAUAUACCGGGAUGGAAUCGGAAUGGAUCGGAAUGGAACGGGAUGGGAUAAACGGGACAACACAUCUAGAUAUUUCAAAAAAUGAUAAAAAAAUUUUUUAGUUUUUUUUACUUUUUGAUUACGAAAAUAUGAAUGUUUUUUUUAUUUUUCUAAGUUUGAACUUUAAAUUAAUAGUUUUGAAAUUUAUAAAUUAUAAUGUAAUUUUACUUAAGUUUAUUUUAAAGAUAUUUUUAAAAUUUUUUUACCUAUUAAGUCUACAAGUUAAGUUUAAUAAAGUUUUUUUAAAAGUUUUUUAGCUUAGUUUUCAAAUUUCAAGAUUUGAAUCUUUUGAAGUUUAUAAGUUAUUACUUAUUAAUAUGUUAUAACUUAUAAGUUAUAUAUAUAAUUUGUAAUUUAAAUAACUUAAGUUUGUAAUUUAAAAAAAUAAAUAAAAAUAAGAAUAAAACAAUGACACAAUCACACAAAUUUUAAGAAAAUAAAAAAAACUUUUGAAUCUUGUAGAUUUAAUUAAAGAUAUAUAUAGAAUAUAUCAAAACACAUUUUAAUCUUAUAGUCUGAAACAUGUUAUAUGAAUUGUUUUUAUAAAUUUAUUUAAAGAUAUAUAAAAUAUAUCAAAAUACAUUUUAAUAUUAAAAUCUUAAAUAUGUUACACACAAAUUUUUGCUAAAAACAAGAACAUUAAAGGAAAGAAAAACAAGCCAUUUUAAAACGUAGAAAGUACUACUUAAUAAAUAUAUUGUUUCAUGUUUCUCACUCAAUGCGUUCGAUAUGUGUUUUGAAAUAUCAAUUAAUUUGAAUUUACAUUGCACAAACUCAUUAAAAGUAAGGGCGGAUCAAUAUCAUUGAUGAUCUAAAGCCAAAUUGCAAUUUAUUUUAUUUUUUUCAAAGAAAAAUUNNNNNNNNNNNNNNNNNNNNNNNNNNNNNNNNNNNNNNNNNNNNNNNNNNNNNNNNNNNNNNNNNNNNNAUAUAAUUUUUAUUUAAAGUCUGUUUUCUAACUUUUUAAAACUAAAGUUAUAAAUAAUUAUUUUAUAAUCAACUUGAUCUUCUAAUAUUAUUUUUUCUUCAAUUAGUAAAAUAGUAGCAAUCUAUUCAACAUUUUUUUUCAAACAUUUCAAAUAUCAAACAUUGGAAAAGUUAUAUAUUUUAUUUUUUUAUAUAUAAAUUAUAAUAGAAAAUAUAAAUUAAUUAAUAAAAAAUAAUUAACCGAAACCGGACCGGAACGGAACCGGAACAAACCGGGAUAAACCGGUACCGGUACACCGGUAUCAAAUCAUGAUACCGUUUCGUCCCGUGUACCAGUUCACGGUGUCCCGUUCCAUCCCAAAGACUACCGGACCGGAAUGGUACCGGUACCGGUACAACCUGGUCCGGUGACCAGCCUUAUCAGACUUCACUGGUGCACAUCCUUCGUGUUGUCUUCCUUGACAUUUCAGCCCAUUCAAAAAAUUAUACUUUCCAUCACCAAAUAGCUUGAUUUCAUCCCUUUUAGGCAACCAUUAGUCCAGGAUUGGUAUUACAUAUUCUAUAUAUUUCCAAUUGCAUCCAAUUGCAAGUUUUGGUAGGUUAGGGAUCUCCAUUUUGUUAUUGGUCCGAUCGGUCUGCUCUGAGCUUCUUCAACUGUAAGUGCUCCACUCUUGUUGUUGUAGAAUCUAUUCAAAUCACUACUUGCUUGGGAUUGAGGAGGCAGAGUAGUUAUUGUUGUGUUGAGUCUAUUGAAACGAGGACUGGACUGGAUGGACUGGUUAUGAUUCUCCAAAGUCCGAGCUACUGGUUGAAUGCUUGAGUAAAUGCCUAGUGAACAUUAUGUUCUUGCAUUCACAAGCUAAGUAAAAAAUAAGUUAUCUGUUUUAACGAUAAUCAAGAGAUAAAAAAGAAGAUUAGGCAAAGCUAGAUAUUUGUAAAUGUAAGGGUUGUGUGCUCUUGUUUAAUGUCCACGGUCUCGUCAUGCUCUUGGUUGUGUCUGUUAGAGUGGGUAAAAGUCCACAUUGGUUGGGAAUGGACGGGUGGUCUCUUAUAUGGACUUUGGCAAUUUUUCCCUCAUGAGCUAGCUUUUGGAGCAUGAGUCAGACCUAAGACCUAAUUUAAUAUAGUAUCAGAGCCAAGCCCAUCUCAAUUUGUUGUUCACCGAUGUUGGCCCAUCAGUAGAGGGAUGAGAGAUUGGUCUCUUUAUAUGGACUUAGACAAACCUCCCCCAAUGAACUAGCUUUUGGGGUAACUUUUAUGCUCAUAUCUUAGAUCUUUAAUUAAAUGAAAAACCUCUUUCAUGAACUAAUCCAAAGUUUCUUCUAGGUUAAAUUUCAUUGUGUAUAAUGGGAAGAAACUUCAGCUUCUCUCUUUAUCUAAAGUACAGAAGUUUGAAAGCUGUCUUUCCUCAACAAACAGACAACAGGUAUGAGUAAGAAACUUAAUUUUAUAUAUAUAUAUAUAUAUAUUUCCACCCAAGUUGGAUCAGGUCUCUAUUUGCUAAGUGUUGUGUCAUAUCUGGAAAGUUCCCGGAAAAGGCAUGCAUGGAUUUGCCUAGUUACAUUGGAAAGAAGCACUUGAGACUUAAGUUAGUGAUAAAGUUUCAACAAGGUGGCUUUAAAUAAAUACAGUUUGUUAAAAAGAUUUGCACUAGUGAAUCAAUCGUGUCUACUUUUUAUGUUGCACAUUCUGUUGAUCGAUACUUCAGACAUUUGUUUUGCAGUUUUGUUCUUUAAGUGCAACUCCUUUCUUUGUUUCUUUCCUCAAUGCUGUUUUCAUGCAUUCUCUGGACAAACUUUUCUCUCUUUUGGGGGAGGUGGUUGGGCCAAUAAGAUAUUGAAUAAGAAAGAAAAAUUACAUUGCUUGUACAUUUGAAGGCAUCAGGAAUAAUCAAAUUACUCUUGUACUUGAUUGCUAAGACCUACUACAUUCUAAAGCAAAAUUGUAUAUGUUUUGAGUACAAACACUUGAAAGUUUUCCCAACAUUUCCACCUUUUGUCCUAACUAUUAUAGAGAAGACGACAUUUGGCCAAGUACCGACACACAAUUAUCCCUGGACUCUUUUAGGACCAAAGUAGAGGUUAACAAGGAUAAAAAAGUAUAAUAUGGCUCAUCUUUAAGUCCUAGCUAGUGCCACCCCUAGCCCUUUCCAUACGAAUUAAAUGCCUUCACUAUUCCUGCUAACGUCCUUCUUCAACUGUAAUCGUCACCUGAUUGUUGGAUACGAUGUAUUUCUUAUCGGAGGAAGAAGAAGAUGUACUAGAAGCAUGUGUCCUUAUUACAAAAGCUGGUCUAUUAGGUGUUGGAAGGUUAGUACCUUCCCCUCCCAGCAUUAAAAUGACAUCUGACAUAUUAGGACGAUGAUUUGGAUCUUCUUGUACACACAGGAGUGCAAUAUUUAUG